This 492-nucleotide ribosomal RNA is filed under the name uncultured bacterium. RNAcentral describes it as "partial 16S ribosomal RNA". It matches the Rfam family "Bacterial small subunit ribosomal RNA", at positions 30 to 507 of the family's 1533-position model. The record is from RNAcentral.
AGUGAACGCUGGCGGUAGGCCUAACACAUGCAAGUCGAACGGCAGCACAGUAAGAGCUUGCUCUUACGGGUGGCGAGUGGCGGACGGGUGAGGAAUACAUCGGAAUCUACUUUUUCGUGGGGGAUAACGUAGGGAAACUUACGCUAAUACCGCAUACGACCUACGGGUGAAAGCAGGGGAUCUUCGGACCUUGCGCGAUUGAAUGAGCCGAUGUCGGAUUAGCUAGUUGGCGGGGUAAAGGCCCACCAAGGCGACGAUCCGUAGCUGGUCUGAGAGGAUGAUGAGGCAGGCUGGAAGUGAGACACGGUCCAGACUCCUGCGUGAGGCAGCAGUGGGGAAUCGGGGACAAUGGGCGUAGGAUUGACGGAGCUUUUCGGCGGGAGUGAAGAGGGGCUGCGGAUCGCCAAACUCUGUUAUGAGGGAAGAAAAAAUGUGUAAGGAACUACGCCCGGCCUGAAGGUACCUAAUGAGAAAGAAACGACUAAUUUCGUG